RNAcentral lists this ribosomal RNA (1127 nucleotides) under Bacillus sp. enrichment culture clone CBMAI_745. RNAcentral's name for it is "bacterial SSU rRNA". It matches the Rfam family "Bacterial small subunit ribosomal RNA", at positions 124 to 1237 of the family's 1533-position model. Lineage: Bacteria; Bacillati; Bacillota; Bacilli; Caryophanales; Bacillaceae. The record is from RNAcentral.
ACCUGCCUGUAAGACUGGGAUAACUCCGGGAAACCGGAGCUAAUACCGGAUAGUUCCUUGAACCGCAUGGUUCAAGGAUGAAAGACGGUUUCGGCUGUCACUUACAGAUGGACCCGCGGCGCAUUAGCUAGUUGGUGGGGUAAUGGCUCACCAAGGCGACGAUGCGUAGCCGACCUGAGAGGGUGAUCGGCCACACUGGGACUGAGACACGGCCCAGACUCCUACGGGAGGCAGCAGUAGGGAAUCUUCCGCAAUGGACGAAAGUCUGACGGAGCAACGCCGCGUGAGUGAUGAAGGUUUUCGGAUCGUAAAGCUCUGUUGUUAGGGAAGAACAAGUGCGAGAGUAACUGCUCGCACCUUGACGGUACCUAACCAGAAAGCCACGGCUAACUACGUGCCAGCAGCCGCGGUAAUACGUAGGUGGCAAGCGUUGUCCGGAAUUAUUGGGCGUAAAGGGCUCGCAGGCGGUUUCUUAAGUCUGAUGUGAAAGCCCCCGGCUCAACCGGGGAGGGUCAUUGGAAACUGGGAAACUUGAGUGCAGAAGAGGAGAGUGGAAUUCCACGUGUAGCGGUGAAAUGCGUAGAGAUGUGGAGGAACACCAGUGGCGAAGGCGACUCUCUGGUCUGUAACUGACGCUGAGGAGCGAAAGCGUGGGGAGCGAACAGGAUUAGAUACCCUGGUAGUCCACGCCGUAAACGAUGAGUGCUAAGUGUUAGGGGGUUUCCGCCCCUUAGUGCUGCAGCUAACGCACUUAAGCACUCCGCCUGGGGAGUACGGUCGCAAGACUGAAACUCAAAGGAAUUGACGGGGGCCCGCACAAGCGGUGGAGCAUGUGGUUUAAUUCGAAGCAACGCGAAGAACCUUACCAGGUCUUGACAUCCUCUGACAACCCUAGAGAUAGGGCUUUCCCUUCGGGGACAGAGUGACAGGUGGUGCAUGGUUGUCGUCAGCUCGUGUCGUGAGAUGUUGGGUUAAGUCCCGCAACGAGCGCAACCCUUGAUCUUAGUUGCCAGCAUUCAGUUGGGCACUCUAAGGUGACUGCCGGUGACAAACCGGAGGAAGGUGGGGAUGACGUCAAAUCAUCAUGCCCCUUAUGACCUGGGCUACACACGUGCUACAAUGGACAG